This 492-nucleotide ribosomal RNA is filed under the name uncultured bacterium. RNAcentral's name for it is "bacterial SSU rRNA". It matches the Rfam family "Bacterial small subunit ribosomal RNA", at positions 30 to 514 of the family's 1533-position model. The record is from RNAcentral.
AUUGAACGCUGGCGGCAGGCCUAACACAUGCAAGUCGAGCGAGAAAGGUCUUCGGACUGAGUACAGCGGCGGACGGGUGAGUAAUGCGCAGGGAAUCUACCUGGUAGUGGGGGGAUAACUCGGGGGAAACUCGAACUAAUACCGCAUACGCCCUACGGGGGAAAGCGGGGGACCUUCGGGCCUCGCGCUAUCAGAUGAGCCUGCGUAGGAUUAGCUUGUUGGUGAGGUAAAGGCUCACCAAGGCGACGAUCCUUAGCUGGUCUGAGAGGAUGAUCAGCCACACUGGAACUGAGACACGGUCCAGACUCCUACGGGAGGCAGCAGUGGGGAAUAUUGCACAAUGGGCGAAAGCCUGAUGCAGCAAUGCCGCGUGUGUGAAGAAGGCCUGCGGGUUGUAAAGCACUUUCAGUAGGGAGGAAACAGUANCCGGUUAAUAUCCGGUUGCCUUGACGUUACCUACAGAAGAAGCACCGGCUAACUCUGUGCCAGCAG